This 2739-nucleotide ribosomal RNA is filed under the name Salmonella enterica subsp. enterica serovar Durham. Its description in RNAcentral is "partial 23S ribosomal RNA". It matches the Rfam family "Bacterial large subunit ribosomal RNA". The record is from RNAcentral. Lineage: Bacteria; Pseudomonadati; Pseudomonadota; Gammaproteobacteria; Enterobacterales; Enterobacteriaceae.
GGGUUGUGAGGUUAAGCGACUAAGCGUACACGGUGGAUGCCCUGGCAGUCAGAGGCGAUGAAGGGCGUGCUAAUCUGCGAUAAGCGCCGGUAAGGUGAUAUGAACCGUUAUAACCGGCGAUACCCGAAUGGGGAAACCCAGUGUGAUUCGUCACACUAUCAUUAACUGAAUCCAUAGGUUAAUGAGGCGAACCGGGGGAACUGAAACAUCUAAGUACCCCGAGGAAAAGAAAUCAACCGAGAUUCCCCCAGUAGCGGCGAGCGAACGGGGAGGAGCCCAGAGCCUGAAUCAGCAUGUGUGUUAGUGGAAGCGUCUGGAAAGGCGCGCGAUACAGGGUGACAGCCCCGUACACAAAAGCGCAUGUGCUGUGAGCUCGAUGAGUAGGGCGGGACACGUGGUAUCCUGUCUGAAUAUGGGGGGACCAUCCUCCAAGGCUAAAUACUCCUGACUGACCGAUAGUGAACCAGUACCGUGAGGGAAAGGCGAAAAGAACCCCGGCGAGGGGAGUGAAAAAGAACCUGAAACCGUGUACGUACAAGCAGUGGGAGCACAGGUUUACCUGUGUGACUGCGUACCUUUUGUAUAAUGGGUCAGCGACUUAUAUUCUGUAGCAAGGUUAACCGUAUAGGGGAGCCGCAGGGAAACCGAGUCUUAAUUGGGCGUUAAGUUGCAGGGUAUAGACCCGAAACCCGGUGAUCUAGCCAUGGGCAGGUUGAAGGUUGGGUAACACUAACUGGAGGACCGAACCGACUAAUGUUGAAAAAUUAGCGGAUGACCUGUGGCUGGGGGUGAAAGGCCAAUCAAACCGGGAGAUAGCUGGUUCUCCCCGAAAGCUAUUUAGGUAGCGCCUCGUGAAUUCAUCUCCGGGGGUAGAGCACUGUUUCGGCUAGGGGGCCAUCCCGGCUUACCAACCCGAUGCAAACUGCGAAUACCGGAGAAUGUUAUCACGGGAGACACACGGCGGGUGCUAACGUCCGUCGUGAAGAGGGAAACAACCCAGACCGCCAGCUAAGGUCCCAAAGUCAUGGUUAAGUGGGAAACGAUGUGGGAAGGCCCAGACAGCCAGGAUGUUGGCUUAGAAGCAGCCAUCAUUUAAAGAAAGCGUAAUAGCUCACUGGUCGAGUCGGCCUGCGCGGAAGAUGUAACGGGGCUAAACCAUGCACCGAAGCUGCGGCAGCGACGCUGAUGCGUUGUUGGGUAGGGGAGCGUUCUGUAAGCCUGCGAAGGUGGCCUGUGAGGGUUGCUGGAGGUAUCAGAAGUGCGAAUGCUGACAUAAGUAACGAUAAAGCGGGUGAAAAGCCCGCUCGCCGGAAGACCAAGGGUUCCUGUCCAACGUUAAUCGGGGCAGGGUGAGUCGACCCCUAAGGCGAGGCCGAAAGGCGUAGUCGAUGGGAAACGGGUUAAUAUUCCCGUACUUGGUGUUACUGCGAAGGGGGGACGGAGAAGGCUAUGUUGGCCGGGCGACGGUUGUCCCGGUUUAAGCGUGUAGGUGUGUGUUCCAGGUAAAUCCGGUUCACUUUAACACUGAGGCGUGACGACGAGGCACUACGGUGCUGAAGCAACAAAUGCCCUGCUUCCAGGAAAAGCCUCUAAGCAUCAGGUAACAUCAAAUCGUACCCCAAACCGACACAGGUGGUCAGGUAGAGAAUACCAAGGCGCUUGAGAGAACUCGGGUGAAGGAACUAGGCAAAAUGGUGCCGUAACUUCGGGAGAAGGCACGCUGACACGUAGGUGAAGUGAUUUACUCAUGGAGCUGAAGUCAGUCGAAGAUACCAGCUGGCUGCAACUGUUUAUUAAAAACACAGCACUGUGCAAACACGAAAGUGGACGUAUACGGUGUGACGCCUGCCCGGUGCCGGAAGGUUAAUUGAUGGGGUCAGCGCAAGCGAAGCUCCUGAUCGAAGCCCCGGUAAACGGCGGCCGUAACUAUAACGGUCCUAAGGUAGCGAAAUUCCUUGUCGGGUAAGUUCCGACCUGCACGAAUGGCGUAAUGAUGGCCAGGCUGUCUCCACCCGAGACUCAGUGAAAUUGAACUCGCUGUGAAGAUGCAGUGUACCCGCGGCAAGACGGAAAGACCCCGUGAACCUUUACUAUAGCUUGACACUGAACAUUGAGCCUUGAUGUGUAGGAUAGGUGGGAGGCUUUGAAGUGUGGACGCCAGUCUGCAUGGAGCCGACCUUGAAAUACCACCCUUUAAUGUUUGAUGUUCUAACGUGGACCCGUUACCCGGGUUGCGGACAGUGUCUGGUGGGUAGUUUGACUGGGGCGGUCUCCUCCUAAAGAGUAACGGAGGAGCACGAAGGUUGGCUAAUCCUGGUCGGACAUCAGGAGGUUAGUGCAAUGGCAUAAGCCAGCUUGACUGCGAGCGUGACGGCGCGAGCAGGUGCGAAAGCAGGUCAUAGUGAUCCGGUGGUUCUGAAUGGAAGGGCCAUCGCUCAACGGAUAAAAGGUACUCCGGGGAUAACAGGCUGAUACCGCCCAAGAGUUCAUAUCGACGGCGGUGUUUGGCACCUCGAUGUCGGCUCAUCACAUCCUGGGGCUGAAGUAGGUCCCAAGGGUAUGGCUGUUCGCCAUUUAAAGUGGUACGCGAGCUGGGUUUAGAACGUCGUGAGACAGUUCGGUCCCUAUCUGCCGUGGGCGCUGGAGAACUGAGGGGGGCUGCUCCUAGUACGAGAGGACCGGAGUGGACGCAUCACUGGUGUUCGGGUUGUCAUGCCAAUGGCACUGCCCGGUAGCUAA